Molecule: non-coding RNA, 23 nt
Filed under: Cricetulus griseus (Chinese hamster)
Lineage: Eukaryota; Metazoa; Chordata; Mammalia; Rodentia; Cricetidae
Source: RNAcentral
CUCAGAAGUUCCUUUUACAAGUU